UACGGAGGAUGCGAGCGUUAUCCGGAUUCAUUGGGUUUAAAGGGUGCGCAGGCGGGCUAAUAAGUCAGGGGUGAAAUUCCACGGCUCAACUGUGGGGCUGCCUUUGAUACUGUUAGUCUUGAGUUUAGUUGAGGUGGGCGGAAUGUAGCAUGUAGCGGUGAAAUGCAUAGAUAUGCUACAGAACACCGAUAGCGAAGGCAGCUCACCAAGUUAUAACUGACGCUCAUGCACGAAAGCGUGGGGAU
This 245-nucleotide ribosomal RNA is filed under the name uncultured Bacteroidota bacterium. RNAcentral's name for it is "uncultured Bacteroidetes bacterium partial 16S ribosomal RNA". It matches the Rfam family "Bacterial small subunit ribosomal RNA", at positions 524 to 768 of the family's 1533-position model. The record is from RNAcentral. Lineage: Bacteria; Pseudomonadati; Bacteroidota.